RNAcentral lists this ribosomal RNA (487 nucleotides) under uncultured Acidobacteriota bacterium. RNAcentral's name for it is "bacterial SSU rRNA". It matches the Rfam family "Bacterial small subunit ribosomal RNA", at positions 355 to 858 of the family's 1533-position model. The record is from RNAcentral. Lineage: Bacteria; Pseudomonadati; Acidobacteriota.
UCGGGAAUUUUGCGCAAUGGACGAAAGUCUGACGCAGCAACGCCGCGUGAGGGAUGAAGGCCUUCGGGUUGUAAACCUCUUUUGUCAGGGACGAUGAUGACGGUACCUGACGAAUAAGCCACGGCUAACUACGUGCCAGCAGCCGCGGUAAUACGUAGGUGGCAAGCGUUGUCCGGAUUUACUGGGCGUAAAGAGCGCGCAGGCGGUCGUUCAAGUCGCGUGUGAAAGCCCCCGGCUCAACUGGGGAGGGUCACGCGAUACUGAUCGACUCGAAGGCAGGAGAGGGUAGUGGAAUUCCCGGUGUAGUGGUGAAAUGCGUAGAUAUCGGGAGGAACACCAGUGGCGAAGGCGACUACCUGGCCUGUUUCUUGACGCUGAGGCGCGAAAGCUAGGGGAGCAAACGGGAUUAGAUACCCCGGUAGUCCUAGCCGUAAACGAUGGACACUAGGUGUUGGUGGUAUCAACCCCGCAGUGCCGAAGCUAACGC